Molecule: ribosomal RNA, 435 nt
Filed under: uncultured bacterium
Lineage: Bacteria
Description: partial 16S ribosomal RNA
Rfam family: Bacterial small subunit ribosomal RNA
Source: RNAcentral
GAUGAACGCUGGCGGUAUGCUUAACACAUGCAAGUCGAACGGACUCUUCGGAGUUAGUGGCGGACGGGUGAGUAACGCGUGAGAAUCUGGCUUUGGGUUCGGGACAACCACUGGAAACGGUGGCUAAUACCGGAUGUGCCGAGAGGUAAAAGAGAAAUUGCCUGAAGAUGAGCUCGCGUCUGAUUAGCUAGUUGGUGAGGUAAAGGCUCACCAAGGCAGCGAUCAGUAGCUGGUCUGAGAGGAUGACCAGCCACACUGGGACUGAGACACGGCCCAGACUCCUACGGGAGGCAGCAGUGGGGAAUUUUCCGCAAUGGGCGAAAGCCUGACGGAGCAAUACCGCGUGAGGGAAGAAGGCUCUUGGGUUGUAAACCUCUUUUCUUAGGGAAGAACAAAAUGACGGUACCUAAGGAAUCAGCAUCGGCUAACACCGUG